RNAcentral lists this transfer RNA (77 nucleotides) under Mycobacterium phage Taurus. RNAcentral's name for it is "tRNA-Leu". It matches the Rfam family "tRNA". From Rfam's summary of the family: Transfer RNA (tRNA) molecules are approximately 80 nucleotides in length. Their secondary structure includes four short double-helical elements and three loops (D, anti-codon, and T loops). RNAcentral also lists the same sequence under 5 other names. Lineage: Duplodnaviria; Heunggongvirae; Uroviricota; Caudoviricetes. The record is from RNAcentral.
GGCUCGGUAGGCAAACAGGCAAAGCCGCCUGUCUCAGGAACAGGUGCGUGAGGGUUCGACUCCCUCCCGAGCUACGC